This 252-nucleotide ribosomal RNA is filed under the name uncultured bacterium. Its description in RNAcentral is "partial 16S ribosomal RNA". It matches the Rfam family "Bacterial small subunit ribosomal RNA", at positions 524 to 776 of the family's 1533-position model. The record is from RNAcentral.
GACGUAGGGGGCCAGCGUUGCUCGGAAUUACUGGGCGUAAAGGGUUCGUAGGCGGUGUGGCAAGUCGGGAGUGAAAUCUCUGGGCUUAACUCAGAGGCUGCUUCCGAAACUGCCGUGCUAGAGUGCGGGAGAGGCGAGUGGAAUUGCAGGUGUAGCGGUGAAAUGCGUAGAUAUCUGCAGGAACACCCGUGGCGAAAGCGGCGCGCUGGACCACUACUGACGCUGAGGAACGAAAGCUAGGGAGCAAACAGG